Lathyrus oleraceus (garden pea) is the source of this 833-nucleotide long non-coding RNA. RefSeq lists it as uncharacterized. The transcript has 3 exons. NCBI's taxonomy places the organism in Eukaryota, Viridiplantae, Streptophyta, Magnoliopsida, Fabales, Fabaceae. The record is from RefSeq and is a predicted model, not a curated record.
CAAUUAUGCAUGUGGUUCACAUGUCCAAUGUGCUCAGCUCAAACCAAACAUGCUCAUCACUUAACACGAGUAUCUUCGUCGUUUCUGAGCUUACUACUGACAGCGAAGGAGAACUAAACUCACAAAAACCUAUGCCAAUCGAAACCUCUUAGUGAGCUUCAUCCAUAUUUGAAACUAAUUCCAAUCAAAUCCUCAUAAACUCCCUGAAUCGAGUAGAAUUUCGUAUGAACCCUAAACAAAGAAUUUUAAAUUAAACGCCUAAUCAAAGGAAUCAAAGUCCUUAAAGUUAGGGCUUUGAUUCCUCGGUCUCUCUUCUACAUACUGGUAACAAGAAUGAUGAUUAAAGGUGAAGAAUCAAUACUCACCUUUCUAGAUAAGGGAGUUUGAGCUCGGAGCAAAUAUGCAGGCGUUGAUGAAGAAGGCUUCAGUUAUUGCAGGUUACAUGUUUAUCAACUUUGGUGAAGUUGAGCUAUGUAUCAACAUGAAUGACCUGCCAAUGCAUGUAAAUGCUUUCUAACUGCAGGACUUGGUAUGUGGUCAUGGCUUCAAGGCAUGGCAAUUUGAUGGCAAACAAGGCUUGGUGCAAAAGAUGAUUACUUGUUCAUGAAGAAAAUUGGACAUGGAAUCAAAUGGGAAGAUUGGAAAGGAUAUGGACUUCAAGUAGAAAUUAGGGUUAGGUCAUUGGAAUAGGUAAGUUGACUUUGAUCAACUGGUUGACCAAAAAGUCAAUAGUUGAUCAAAAGUAAAUUGUAGGUCAAACUUGAUUUAUUUGUAAUUUUCUUAUAUGAACCAUUUGUAAAUGACAUUGUAUGAAUGAAUGGACACUUUUUGAA